ACUGCCUUCCUGGGCCAUCCAAAGCCAAGUUUAAACCACCAUUGGUACACAGGAAGUGAUGCAAAGAAUAGCCUUUAUAUUUUGUGGUCUCCUCCUGUGAGGAGGUCUUUGCCUUGGAAUUUGAUGGUGGAGGAGCCCUGGCUUGAGAUCUCAGACUGCUUCUCUUGGACUGUCACAUGGAUUAGCUCUUACCACUUUUACCUAGCAAAAAUCCUCAAGGAUGAACCCAGAAUUGACUGUAUGUCUUUUAAAGAGGACCAUCCUUAGCUGGCAUGAAGAAAAUCAUUACCAGAAAUCUCAGGAACCAAUGCCAUCAAAGCCCCAUGAAGCCCAGUCACGGAGACUUUAAUAGGUUUCAAUCAGCAUUUGUGGAGGGAAUAUGUACUCUGCUCCUUUGAGGUAUGAAAAAUAUUAAAAUACAUAAAUGUUCAAUGGUUUAAUUUUCCUCAAAUGCUAUUACUUGGAAUAUAAACAUGAUAAGGGUAAGGCUUGAAUUUUAGAUGAUAAUACUUCCAUAUUAGAACCAAUUUGAAAGGAUGCUCUGGAUAGCAUUUAUGUGAAGUGUCUUAUACACCAAAUGGAGAUCAGGGCCAAAAAAUGAAUCUAUUUACCAACAAAUUUAGAGCAAGACAUGCUCCAGUAAAAACAAUUUGUACAUCAUUUAUCCUACAUUGAAAAACAUGUGGCUGGGGAUAAAAACAAAAAUUUUAAACCCCAAUCACCACAAAACAAGGAAACACUGGCUCCCAUUAAAAUAAGAUACAACAAGGUAAUAGCCAUUGUUUAACCACAAGGUCAAAAUCUCAUUUAAAACCUAUUAUAACUUUUAUUUGGAUUUCUACUGUUACUGUCCUAGUUUUCAAUGUAAUACUCUUGUUUCAUCAUAGGUACAUUUAAGAAAAAAAUAAUUUAAGGUUAACAGAAAUACAUUUCUCUCUGAUUAGCACUAUUUCUUUUGAAGGGGAUGGAUGAUGAUUCUCUGUAAAAAAUCUAGCAAGGUAGAACAAAACAAUUUAAUAUUAAUAUGUAUUCACAUAAGCACCUACCUCUUUUCUCCCAAGCUUUUACUUCUACUGAAAGGGUAAACUGCUUAAAUCUGAGGCUCAUAUAAGUAUAAAAUUUGUAUUCCUAAGAGACCUGGAAGAGUUCAUUCACAAGGCAAUCCCAAGAGUACAAAGAAUGUAUAUUACCCAGAUUAUAAGUUGCAUUGGAUUGGUUCCCAAAGGAGGGAAUCUGAAGAAUAGCAGAAGUAAAAGACAUCAAGGAUUGUAUGACAGGGAGAGAAGAUGGCUAGUCACAUAACAAGAGAGAGGAAUGAAACAUUAAUAGUGAGAAUGUUCUACUGGUAUUCUCUCAAUGUCAAGUGGAAGCAAGCAAGGCCUCCAUUUUGCUGGAUAGAUGCAUUGUAAUAAAUAAACUAUUGACAAAACA
This 1431-nucleotide long non-coding RNA is filed under the name Monodelphis domestica (gray short-tailed opossum). Its description in RNAcentral is "lncRNA (ENSMODG00000049294.1)". Lineage: Eukaryota; Metazoa; Chordata; Mammalia; Didelphimorphia; Didelphidae. The record is from RNAcentral.